ACAUUUUGUUUUCGGAUCUGUAUUCUACCUUAAUCUAAAUUAUAAAUAUGGAGAUUCGAACUUGGGGUACAAGGAGACAUGCUACCUCACAACCCGUUAACUUUACAUCUUAUAAAAACAAUUAUAACGAAGGGUGUCUUGCCUCGCAAGUCAACUUUAACUUGAUUACUGUAGAUUUUACUUCAUUUUUUUAUGCACUUACAUUAGAAAUACAGUAGGUUAAGAGAUUAGUGUGAAAACCAUUGAAAUUAAAUUAGUCAUGCCAUAUGAUUAAACAUUAACCAAAGUUGAUUAAUUGUGUCAUAUUGAAGUUAAAGCACGUACGUAUGUUGUGAACUGUAAUUUCAAAGCUAAGUUCCACUUUCUAAACCAAACCCAUCACCUCAUAAAAUAAAAGCUCAGUUGCUCAUAAUACUACAAAAACUUUAUAAAAAAAUAGCCAUAUAAUUUUUCAAAAAUCCGUGCAAUAUAGUCUAAUUAUCGAAGAAAAUUUUAGGAACUGUUGAGCGAAAAAAUUAGGUGCAAAUAGGAGCACUGCCGCACGAGAUAAACCAAAACCUCUUCCAUGUUUCUUGUCGGAGAAGGAAAAUGAAAAUUAAUUACUUUUAGACGGAUAUGAGCACUGCCAUUGAACUUUUUGAACCGUCAAAAAAAUAUCACUAUACUGUAGUACUAGAUAGGGGGCAAAGAGAAACUAAACUGCAAGUAAAAGAUGAUACUGCAAUAUUCUACUAAUCUGAUCUACUAAUUAACCUGUUAGGGAGGCAUAAUUAUAAACUGCUAACUUUAAUUACUAAUUACUAAUGGGGACUAUGCUAUCAAUCAGCGGCCCAGCUGUGUAUGUGUGUAGCUGCUGGUGCUGGUUCAUUUUUCGCCGGAAUCUUGUAGUGUAGGAUUUAGGGUUAAGUCCACUACCUAAAGGGUGAAAAUCCUAAAUAUGCCCAACCACCUUUGCUUCUGAAUUCAUAACGCAUUAAGUAUUGAAAGAAUAAGGAAAUUACAAUAGAAAACGACGUACUUAUCAAGAAGCCACACUUGCAGCCUCUAUCAACUCAUCUUCCUCGUCAACAAUCAUCUCG
Molecule: long non-coding RNA, 1079 nt
Filed under: Malus domestica (apple)
Lineage: Eukaryota; Viridiplantae; Streptophyta; Magnoliopsida; Rosales; Rosaceae
Description: long non-coding RNA (MDOM_LNC003275)
Source: RNAcentral